CGUGAGUAACCUGCCCAUAAGAGGGGGAUAAUCCAUGGAAACGUGGACUAAUACCGCAUAUUGUAGUUAAGUUGCAUGACUUGAUCAUGAAAGAUUUAUCGCUUAUGGAUGGACUCGCGUCAGAUUAGAUAGUUGGUGAGGUAACGGCUCACCAAGUCAACGAUCUGUAGCCGAACUGAGAGGUUGAUCGGCCGCAUUGGGACUGAGACACGGCCCAG
This 218-nucleotide ribosomal RNA is filed under the name uncultured bacterium. RNAcentral's name for it is "partial 16S ribosomal RNA". It matches the Rfam family "Bacterial small subunit ribosomal RNA", at positions 116 to 334 of the family's 1533-position model. The record is from RNAcentral.